CUUCUCCCUGUUGUUCUUCCCUCCUUUUUUCCCCUCUAUCUCUUCUCUUGUUAUAUUUUCCUUAAAGAAAUACCUGUCUUACUGUAUUACAGAUUCAUUCUUAAUUUUUCAGUGUUUCCUGAUGUUUUACGUGUUUGUUGAGAUUUGCCACCAGAAGGGUCCCCGGCAUCCUUCCUCAGCUCCUCUCUGAGGAAGCAGAGUCCAGUAACAUGGAAGAGAACAGCAAAAUCUAGAAAAAGAAAAGCAGGCAGGUUGGCGUGGCGGUGCUGGGCCUGGACUCAGAAUUCUCAAGUCCUGGAUUCAAGUGUACGACAAUUGGCUGAACAAAAAAUGGACAAGCAAAGCAAUGCAGGGCCUGAUUUGUAAAGAACACACAGUUUACUACUUUGAGAAUAGGAGUUCUGGUUCAACACGGCAACACUGGAAGAUCCUGAACUGCCCUGGACCCACAGACCCUACAACUGCAUAAGGAAUAAUUUCCUCUGAAAAAGACCUAGAAACUAGCUGAACACCUCCUACCUGGGAGGUGAAGAAGAAGAAAAGACCAGCAUUGAAGGAGAUGCUGAGGGCAUCUUUAUGGACACCCCCACCACCAAAGGAUUUGCAAACCCUGGUUCAAGGCCAGGGGCACCAGGCUGCAAGGAAAGCACCAGGAGAGCGAAGUGCAUGGAUGAGGACGGUCAGAAGCACCAGAGACAGCCGAAGGACUCCUCAAAUGUUUCCACCCACAUCCUUGUGAGCAGAGGAUAGAGAGGGAACCUGGGUUGGUGAGGGGAGAAGGGUAGCCUAGAGAGACCUGUUAAUUGAUGUGUUGAUUGAGCUUAAAAAAAUCUCAAGUAAUUUAUUUUCAAUCCCAGGAUCUGCUCACGUUUACUUUGAUGUAAACAUGGUUUCAGAUGACUAACAUGCUAAUCUGAGCUUGAAAAAGAGGCGCCAUGCUUCUGGGAGGACGAUGCCUGCCUCGCUACCCCUGGGCUGUGUUCACCUUGAGGAACACGGACCUGGGGCCAGCUCUUGACAAAAUGAAUGCGAAGUGAGUUACUCGAAGCCCACUCCUGACUAAUGUCUUCUUUUUUCAGUCCUAAUGCAAAAUGGGCAAAGUAAUCUAAGGGGAGUGUCCCCCUCCUUCUAGCUCUUCUACGCUGCCUCUGAAGAAUUAAUGGAAAGCAUAACUUGGUGACUUCCGUCUUUGUCUGUACCUCAACUGCUAGUGAUUCAGCUUCUCCGUUGGGAUGAUUCCACCCCACCCCCACCUGCUUCUGCUAUGUAAAAUAUAGUCAGAAACAAAUUGCUGGUAAGAAAUCCAAAUUGGUGGCAAAUGCAAAUUUAUCCAAUCCACCCAAAUUAUCUUUCUCUUCUCGCCCUUGUGGAAGUAAGAGAUUUUAAUUAAGUGCCAGCAGAGGCACAGGGCAAGCCUUACAAGUUAAGUAUUGAGGAAAACGGUCUAGUUUUUCCAUGUCUUUUAAAGGUCAUCUUCCUGCUGGGUUUUACCGUAUGCUCCCUUAGCAUGGGAGACUCCUGGGCCUGCGUGACUGACCCCUGUGUGAGGUGACUGAUAGAACUUUUCCAACAUUGCCAUAAAUCAUUCCCCUUUCAAAAUGAAAAUAAAACCUAACCAAACAAGACAAAUUAGGAGAGA
Long non-coding RNA from Mustela lutreola (European mink), 1639 nucleotides. RefSeq lists it as uncharacterized. The record is from RefSeq and is a predicted model, not a curated record. Lineage: Eukaryota; Metazoa; Chordata; Mammalia; Carnivora; Mustelidae. The transcript has 6 exons.